ACGGGUGAGUAAUAUAUCGGAACGUGCCCAAUCGUGGGGGAUAACGUAGAGAAAUUUACGCUAAUACCGCAUACGAUCUAAGGAUGAAAGCGGGGGACCGUAAGGCCUCGCGCGAUUGGAGCGGCUGAUAUCAGAUUAGGUUGUUGGUGAGGUAAAAGCUCACCAAGCCGACGAUCUGUAGCUGGUUUGAGAGAACGACCAGCCACACUGGGACUGAGACACGGCCCAAGACUCCUACGGGAGGCAGCAGUGGGGAAUUUUGGACAAUGGGCGAAAGCCUGAUCCAGCAAUGCCGCGUGCAGGAAGAAGGCCUUCGGGUUGUAAACUGCUUUUGUACGGAACGAAAAAGCUCUUUCUAAUAAAGAGGGCUCAUGACGGUACCGUAAGAAUAAGCACCGGCUAACUACGUGCCAGCAGCCGCGGUAAUACGUAGGGUGCGAGCGUUAAUCGGAAUUACUGGGCGUAAAGCGUGCGCAGGCGGUUAUAUAAGACAGUUGUGAAAUCCCCGGGCUCAACCUGGGAAUUGCAUCUGCGACUGUAUAGCUAGAGUACGGUAGAGGGGGAUGGAAUUCCGCGUGUAGCAGUGAAA
This 589-nucleotide ribosomal RNA is filed under the name uncultured bacterium. RNAcentral's name for it is "bacterial SSU rRNA". It matches the Rfam family "Bacterial small subunit ribosomal RNA", at positions 102 to 686 of the family's 1533-position model. The record is from RNAcentral.